CCUACGGGUGGCAGCAGUGGGGAAUAUUGCGCAAUGGGCGAAAGCCUGACGCAGCGACGCCGCGUGAGGGAUGAAGGUCUUCGGAUCGUAAACCUCUGUCAGCAGGGAAGAACGGUCACUGUGCUAAUCAGCAGUGAAUUGACGGUACCUGCAAAGGAAGCACCGGCUAACUCCGUGCCAGCAGCCGCGGUAAUACGGAGGGUGCGAGCGUUAAGCGGAAUUACUGGGCGUAAGGCGCUCGUAGGCGGUAUGUCAAGUCAAGGGUGAAAUCCCCGCGCUCAACGUGGGAACUGCCUUUGAAACUGGCAGACUGGAGUGUGUGAGAGGAUAGUGGAAUUCGAGGUGUAGGAGUGAAAUCCGUAGAUAUCUGGAGGAACAUCAGUGGCGAAGGCGACUAUCUGGCACAUAACUGACGCUGAGGAGCGAAAGCGUGGGUAGCAAACAGGAUUAGAUACCCUUGUAGUC
Molecule: ribosomal RNA, 465 nt
Filed under: uncultured bacterium
Lineage: Bacteria
Description: partial 16S ribosomal RNA
Rfam family: Bacterial small subunit ribosomal RNA
Source: RNAcentral